CCUUCGGGUUGUAAGCACUUUUAUCAGGAGCGAAAUACCAUCGGUCAAUACCCGGUGGGGCGUGACGGUACCUGAGGAAUAAGCACCGGCUAACUUCGUGC
This 101-nucleotide ribosomal RNA is filed under the name uncultured bacterium. Its description in RNAcentral is "partial 16S ribosomal RNA". The record is from RNAcentral.